This 1686-nucleotide long non-coding RNA is filed under the name Anthonomus grandis grandis. RNAcentral describes it as "uncharacterized LOC126737320". The record is from RNAcentral. Lineage: Eukaryota; Metazoa; Arthropoda; Insecta; Coleoptera; Curculionidae.
AGGCCAUGUUAGUUUUCAUUUAUUUGACUUAAGUUGGUUGUUACCUAUUCAAUGUAAUUAUUUAUUUAUUUUAACAGCAGAUCCACCCUUUUACAAGAAUAAAGUAAAGACUUAAUGAAGUAUUCCAUUCAGUAUUUUCUAAAUGUGAAUAAAUCCGAACAAUUCCUUUUCACUUUAAAUUUCAAUGUCAGCCUUGAAAGCUAGGUAACAAAAAAUGCUUUUUGAAUGGCGUUAAUUGUUUCGACAUGGUUAGAAUAAAAAGUUGACCAUACAGGCGAGGUAUAUUCAAUCCCAGAACGAACAAUUGAAAAGGAGAGCAUCUAAACAAGAGACAGAUAAUAGCAGGAGCAAUAGAGUUACGCACAACAAAACCAAUAUUACGCAUGUCUGUCUAGUAACAUACCCAAGUUUCUAAUGACUUUCCAGGCGGGCCAGUAAAAUAUUGCGAGCGGUUCAUGGCGGGGACGGCCUCGGCUCGUCUGGUCGAUUGCACGACGUUGCCAGAUGCGGUCAUGACGUCACGGCACAGCCUUGUUGAUUUAUAAUGAGAAACAACAGAACCUGCUGCUAGGCUCGAGGAGAUGGCCGCGUUUAAGAGUCGUAAGGUUUAAGCUUUGUGCACACCAAAGAAAAACAGAGGAAGAUUUUGUUGCUGGUUAUCGCAACCUGUUUACAAAAACAAUAGCAAAAAUUCUGUCCACACCAAGGUAACACAUUCUUUUGAAUGUUUCGUUAUGUUGCUGAAAGUAAAACAAACGAGGACCUGACGAGGAAUAACUAUCUAUACUAGUGCAAGUGUGUUUUCAUAAUUUACAAAAAGGUAGUAACAGAGACUGGUAAAGACUAGUAACAAAAAUGCAAAAGGACUAUUAAAAUAAUGUUAUUUUAGUCAAAAAAUACAAUAGUAUAUUUGUAUAAUCUAGUAAUAACCCACAUAAUUUUCAGCACCCUCUCAUUUCUUGAAAAUUAAUUUUUCAACAAUAACGUAUAACUGAAAAUUUAUAAAUCUCAAUUGAUAAAAUUUGUUACAGAAAAUCAACGUCAUCAACGACUUAAAAAUCAAACAACAAAGAUCUUAAAACUUUAGAUUGUGUAACUCUUUUAGGAAUUAAAGUAGAUAGGUUGGUUUCUCGACAAAUCAUAUUAAUUCAAUAGAUAUCCAAGCUUAACAAUAGAAACCUGCAAGUAAAAAUUUCAAAAGGCAGUAUGUAUUUUUAACUCUUUUUUGUUUUUUCUUUUUAUUUAACUUCAUCAAUCGCCAAAUUCGAUUACAUAUAUCCACCUACAAAUCCUGAUCCACUGGUUGUUACCACUCGGCAUUUCGGUAUAAUUCAAUAUGGCACAUUAUAUUUUUUGUUGUCCAGUCCAAGUUUCAAGUUGAGGGAGCAAGCAACAACGUGUCCGUCCAUACUAUUAAAUACUGUUGAACAACAAAAAAUGUUUUUCAAUAUUUCUAUAUUUCCUUUGAUCUUGGCCGCUAAAUAUGGGAACAUGCAACUUAUAAAAACUUUUGUUGAUGCAAUCGUAAAUGAGGAAAUUACAUAAAAACUUUCAGCGACAUUUAGGAGAAAAUUCCAAGAAAAAGCAACAUAAACAUAAAGUUCCUAUUUGUUGCUUUUGCUCUGGACGUAGCUUCACGUUGGAUUUAUAUAAUUCAGUUUUAGGAAUUAUAUACCCUAAAAAUUG